GACGAACGCUGGCGGCGUGCCUAAUACAUGCCAGUAGAACGCACAGUUUAUACCGUAGCUUGCUACACCAUAAACUGUGAGUUGCGAACGGGUGAGUAACGCGUAGGUAACCUGCCUGGUAGCGGGGGAUAACUAUUGGAAACGAUAGCUAAUACCGCAUAAUAUUAAUUAUUGCAUGAUAAUUGAUUGAAAGAUGCAAUUGCAUCACUACCAGAUGGACCUGCGUUGUAUUAGCUAGUAGGUGAGGUAACGGCUCACCUAGGCGACGAUACAUAGCCGACCUGAGAGGGUGAUCGGCCACACUGGGACUGAGACACGGCCCAGACUCCUACGGGAGGCAGCAGUAGGGAAUCUUCGGCAAUGGACGAAAGUCUGACCGAGCAACGCCGCGUGAGUGAAGAAGGUUUUCGGAUCGUAAAGCUCUGUUGUAAGAGAAGAACGGGUGUGAGAGUGGAAAGUUCACACUGUGACGGUAUCUUACCAGAAAGGGACGGCUAACUACGUA
This 505-nucleotide ribosomal RNA is filed under the name uncultured bacterium. RNAcentral describes it as "partial 16S ribosomal RNA". It matches the Rfam family "Bacterial small subunit ribosomal RNA", at positions 28 to 507 of the family's 1533-position model. The record is from RNAcentral.